Molecule: ribosomal RNA, 1278 nt
Filed under: Colletotrichum truncatum
Lineage: Eukaryota; Fungi; Ascomycota; Sordariomycetes; Glomerellales; Glomerellaceae
Description: SSU rRNA
Rfam family: Eukaryotic small subunit ribosomal RNA
Source: RNAcentral
UUUUUUCCCGAUUAAUACCUUCACUACUUGGAUAACCGUGGUAAUUCUAGAGCUAAUACAUGCUAAAAAUCCCGACUUCGGAAGGGAUGUAUUUAUUAGAUUAAAAACCAAUGCCCUUCGGGGCUCACUGGUGAUUCAUAAUAACUUCUCGAAUCGCAUGGCCUUGCGCCGGCGAUGGUUCAUUCAAAUUUCUUCCCUAUCAACUUUCGAUGCUAGAGUAGUGUUCUAGCAUGGUUACAACGGGUAACGGAGGGUUAGGGCUCGACCCCGGAGAAGGAGCCUGAGAAACGGCUACUACAUCCAAGGAAGGCAGCAGGCGCGCAAAUUACCCAAUCCCGACUCGGGGAGGUAGUGACGAUAAAUACUGAUACAGGGCUCUUUUGGGUCUUGUAAUUGGAAUGAGUACAAUUUAAAUCCCUUAACGAGGAACAAUUGGAGGGCAAGUCUGGUGCCAGCAGCCGCGGUAAUUCCAGCUCCAAUAGCGUAUAUUAAAGUUGUUGUGGUUAAAAAGCUCGUAGUAGAACCUUGGGCCUGGCUGGCCGGUCCGCCUCACCGCGUGCACUGGUCCGGCCGGGCCUUUCCCUCUGUGGAACCGCAUGCCCUUCACUGGGUGUGCCGGGGAAACAGGACUUUUACUUUGAAAAAAUUAGAGUGCUCCAGGCAGGCCUAUGCUCGAAUACAUUAGCAUGGAAUAAUAGAAUAGGACGUGUGGUUCUAUUUUGUUGGUUUCUAGGACCGCCGUAAUGAUUAAUAGGGACAGUCGGGGGCAUCAGUAUUCAAUUGUCAGAGGUGAAAUUCUUGGAUUUAUUGAAGACUAACUACUGCGAAAGCAUUUGCCAAGGAUGUUUUCAUUUAUCAGGAACGAAAGUUAGGGGAUCGAAGACGAUCAGAUACCGUCGUAGUCUUAACCAUAAACUAUGCCGACUAGGGAUCGGACGAUGUUAUUUUUUGACUCGUUCGGCACCUUACGAGAAAUCAAAGUGCUUGGGCUCCAGGGGGAGUAUGGUCGCAAGGCUGAAACUUAAAGAAAUUGACGGAAGGGCACCACCAGGGGUGGAGCCUGCGGCUUAAUUUGACUCAACACGGGGAAACUCACCAGGUCCAGACACAAUGAGGAUUGACAGAUUGAGAGCUCUUUCUUGAUUUUGUGGGUGGUGGUGCAUGGCCGUUCUUAGUUGGUGGAGUGAUUUGUCUGCUUAAUUGCGAUAACGAACGAGACCUUAACCUGCUAAAUAGCCCGUAUUGCUUUGGCAAGUACGCCGGGCUUUUCUUUAAAAG